This 485-nucleotide ribosomal RNA is filed under the name uncultured bacterium. RNAcentral's name for it is "bacterial SSU rRNA". It matches the Rfam family "Bacterial small subunit ribosomal RNA", at positions 30 to 513 of the family's 1533-position model. The record is from RNAcentral.
AUUGAACGCUGGCGGCAUGCCUUACACAUGCAAGUCGAACGGUAACGGGCCUUCGGGUGCCGACGAGUGGCGAACGGGUGAGUAAUGCAUCGGAACGUACCUUUCAGUGGGGGAUAACGUAGCGAAAGUUACGCUAAUACCGCAUAUUCUGUGAGCAGGAAAGCAGGGGAUCGCAAGACCUUGCGCUGAUUGAGCGGCCGAUGUCAGAUUAGCUAGUUGGUGAGGUAAAGGCUCACCAAGGCGACGAUCUGUAGCGGGUCUGAGAGGAUGAUCCGCCACACUGGAACUGAGACACGGUCCAGACUCCUACGGGAGGCAGCAGUGGGGAAUUUUGGACAAUGGGGGCAACCCUGAUCCAGCCAUGCCGCGUGAGUGAAGAAGGCCUUCGGUUGUAAGCUCUUCGGCUGGGAGAAAUACGCAUCUCCUAAUAACGGGUGGUGGAUGAGGUACCAGCAUAAGAAGCACCGGCUAACUACGUGCCAGAC